GCCCGAUUAGCUCAGCGGUAGAGCGCCUGCCUUACAAGCAGGAUGUCGCUGGUUCGAACCCGGCAUCGGGCA
Molecule: transfer RNA, 72 nt
Filed under: Cyanobium sp. CACIAM 14
Lineage: Bacteria; Bacillati; Cyanobacteriota; Cyanophyceae; Synechococcales; Prochlorococcaceae
Also listed under: 1 other name
Rfam family: tRNA
About the family: Transfer RNA (tRNA) molecules are approximately 80 nucleotides in length. Their secondary structure includes four short double-helical elements and three loops (D, anti-codon, and T loops). Further hydrogen bonds mediate the characteristic L-shaped molecular structure. tRNAs have two regions of fundamental functional importance: the anti-codon, which is responsible for specific mRNA codon recognition, and the 3' end, to which the tRNAs corresponding amino acid is attached (by aminoacyl-tRNA synthetases). tRNAs cope with the degeneracy of the genetic code in two manners: having more than one tRNA (with a specific anti-codon) for a particular amino acid; and 'wobble' base-pairing, i.e. permitting non-standard base-pairing at the 3rd anti-codon position.
Source: Rfam by way of RNAcentral